AUGGGUGGGUUCUUCUCUGCUCAGAGAAAGGGAAGAAAGUCUGCCCUGGUCGGGGCGCCGUGGGAGCUGGUUGGAGCGGACGACACGGAGUGUGUUGACUCCGGCGCGCCUUCUUCUUCCCAGUUUCAAUUGUUUGUUCGCAUUGAUGGGCAACUUAUAUCCGUUCAAGUAACUCGUGAAUCUACCGUUGAAUCGGCCAUAUAUUCAGCACUCUCGCAAGGCAAGUAUAUUCUUUUCAAGUUCGGGGCUCAUUGUUGGGAUGCGGUUAAACAAAGAAGAUUGCUCUUGGAAGAAUCACUUGAAGGUGUUGUCCCUGGUUCUACAAUUACAACAUUCGCUGUGAUUCAUGGUGGUGGCCCCGGAAAGCCCUAUCUUCAACAGGACUAUAUGUCCUUUUUGGACCGGAUGAAUGAACUGCCGUCCAAAAAUGAAUGGCUCGAGACAAAGGGAUUAACAUCUGUGUUAAGUAAGCUGGGGAGACAGACAUUUCAAAAACUGUUUGAAAUGAUAUCCUUGUAUCACACGGGGAACAAGUGUUUUGCUGGUAAAUUUGAUUGUAACAAUAUCAUAUACGUACCAUCGACAGAUACUUACAUGAUUGAUCCCUAUGUGCAUGCGCUUGUUGUGGAUUUCACCCCUAGUGGAUAUAAGGAGGACAUUAAAGCUUUGGGUAAAGUACUUGAAAAGGUGUGCAUGAUGAAACUGGAUUCUUCACAAGCAAAGAUAGCUUAUGUUGCCCAUUUGCUGAAAACUAUGAGGGAAAUGCCAUCAGGUGCAGAGUCAUCUCAAACAUUCAAGGCGUUCAUCAGAAAUCACCCCUGCAUGAUGUCAUCCGCCAGUCGACAAGGACUUAUAUCGGAAGUGCAUAGAUACAUCAAGUUUCAGUAUGAUGAUUCAAUGGAACCUGUUCUACAAUCUCCAUAUACCUGGGGUUGGAUCGCUGAAUGUGAUCGUGACUUCAAUCCGGUAUACUUCUAUAAGUGGUGGCUAUGGCCACUGAGGGGGACUUCAUAUCAUGAGAACGAAUGGUCAUGGUUUUCCUUUUGCCGGAAUUUCCUUUCACAUCCUAUGCAAAAGAUGACCAUACAAGAUGCAGAUAUUGCCAUAUGGUGGUACUUUGAUGAGCAUUUAGCAGACUUCUUGUGCCGCCUUUCCUGCACACAUGAGUUUACAGUUAACAUCUUCGAUAAAGAUAGUUUUUGCACGCACCCUGCAAAGUGGGAAAGGUACCCGUACAUAUUAUACUAUGAAUCAGUCCCAAACCUAGAGUAUUCUACAGAAGAGUCGGAGUACGAGGAAGAAGAGUCGGAGUAUGGUGAAGAAGUGCCAAAUCAUUCUGAAGAAAAGCCAUCACCCAGCGAGAUUGGGCGGCCUGGGAUCGGAAAACGCAUCUUCAUAUGA
This 1401-nucleotide ribosomal RNA is filed under the name Triticum aestivum (bread wheat). RNAcentral describes it as "partial small subunit ribosomal RNA". Lineage: Eukaryota; Viridiplantae; Streptophyta; Magnoliopsida; Poales; Poaceae. The record is from RNAcentral.